Xiphophorus hellerii (green swordtail) is the source of this 697-nucleotide long non-coding RNA. RefSeq lists it as uncharacterized. Lineage: Eukaryota; Metazoa; Chordata; Actinopteri; Cyprinodontiformes; Poeciliidae. The transcript is spliced from 2 exons. The record is from RefSeq and is a predicted model, not a curated record.
CAUGCCUAAAGGGCGUCAUUAGUGCCAGGACUGAGAUCUGGGUCAGGACGUGCAGAAGAAGUUCAACCGCCUCGAUUUAGCUUCUUCUUCUAGAGCCGCUCAUCCUCGAUGACCAGAAGUCGCUGAAAACUACGUGAGGUUGGCAUGGAGACGGAUCGGUUCGUACCUGGACUCGUCCUGAUGAGGCUGUCUGUCACGUCUCAGCAGCAGCAGCAGCAGCAGCAGCAGGGCGGCGCGUCCCGCUCAAAUGGGAGCGCAGCAGCCAGCGCUGGGAUAUAUACUGACUGGGAGCUCUGCCCUCAGGCGCCCCCCGCUGCAGCGGCGCCCCCCGCUGCAGCGGCGCCCCCCGCUGCAGCGGCGCCCCCCGCUGCAGCGCCGCAUGUGGCCACUGCCUGGCACUCGGACGCAGAACCUACAGAUUAUUGGCCAGGGUUCGUUUAGGGAAAACGCAGAUUAGAUCAGAGUUUUCAUCUGGGAUUCACAUGAGAAAGCAAAAGAAAAGAGUUUAAAAGUCUUAUUAUUCAACUUUAACCUGUAAAUUUUCUGACAUCAUUACAUUUUUGAGCAACAAUAAACUAACGCAGGGUCACAGAGAUGAACUAAAACAUUUAAUUUUCAUAUAUUGUGAAUAUUCUGUUGUCUUUUAAUACACAAAUACACAUAAACAUUGUGUAAAAUAAAAAUACCUUCUGUAGUA